RNAcentral lists this ribosomal RNA (155 nucleotides) under Parrya papillosa. RNAcentral's name for it is "Pseudoclausia papillosa 5.8S ribosomal RNA". It matches the Rfam family "5.8S ribosomal RNA". Rfam says of the family: 5.8S ribosomal RNA (5.8S rRNA) is a component of the large subunit of the eukaryotic ribosome. It is transcribed by RNA polymerase I as part of the 45S precursor that also contains 18S and 28S rRNA. The record is from RNAcentral. Lineage: Eukaryota; Viridiplantae; Streptophyta; Magnoliopsida; Brassicales; Brassicaceae.
AAAACGACUCUCGGCAACGGAUAUCUCGGCUCUCGCAUCGAUGAAGAACGUAGCGAAAUGCGAUACUUGGUGUGAAUUGCAGAAUCCCGUGAACCAUCGAGUCUUUGAACGCAAGUCGCGCCCCAGGCCUUCUGGCCGAGGGCACGUCUGCCUGG